This 473-nucleotide ribosomal RNA is filed under the name uncultured bacterium. Its description in RNAcentral is "bacterial SSU rRNA". It matches the Rfam family "Bacterial small subunit ribosomal RNA", at positions 915 to 1391 of the family's 1533-position model. The record is from RNAcentral.
GGGGGCCCGCAAGCGGUGGAGCAUGUGGCUUAAUUCGAUGCAACGCGAAGAACCUUACCCAGGCUUGACAUGUAUCUGCAAGCUCCCGAAACAGAGUCGCCUUCGAGGGUGAUACACAGGUGGUGCAUGGCUGUCGUCAGCUCGUGUUGUGAAAUGUUGGGUUAAGUCCCGCAACGAGCGCAACCCUCACGUUUUGUUACCAGCGGAUAAUGCCGGGGACUCGAGACGAACUGCCUCUGUAAAGAGGAGGAAGGUGGGGAUGACGUCAAGUCAUCAUGCCCCUUACGCCUGGGGCUGCACACAUGCUACAAUGGCCGGUACAAAGGGUUGCUAACUCGCAAGAGGGUGCUAAUCCCAAAAAGCCGGUCUCAGUUCGGAUUGGGGUCUGCAACUCGACCCCAUGAAGCUGGAAUCGCUAGUAAACGCCGGUCAGCCAUACGGCGUUGAAUACGUUCCCGGGCCUUGCACACACC